RNAcentral lists this ribosomal RNA (619 nucleotides) under Pseudomonas sp. RNAcentral describes it as "bacterial SSU rRNA". It matches the Rfam family "Bacterial small subunit ribosomal RNA", at positions 56 to 670 of the family's 1533-position model. The record is from RNAcentral. Lineage: Bacteria; Pseudomonadati; Pseudomonadota; Gammaproteobacteria; Pseudomonadales; Pseudomonadaceae.
UGCAAGUCGAGCGGUAGAGAGGAGCUUGCUUCUCUUGAGAGCGGCGGACGGGUGAGUAAUGCCUAGGAAUCUGCCUAGUGGUGGGGGAUAACGUUCGGAAACGGACGCUAAUACCGCAUACGUCCUACGGGAGAAAGCGGGGGACCUUCGGGCCUCGCGCCAUUAGAUGAGCCUAGGUCGGAUUAGCUAGUUGGUGAGGUAACGGCUCACCAAGGCGACGAUCCGUAACUGGUCUGAGAGGAUGAUCAGUCACACUGGAACUGAGACACGGUCCAGACUCCUACGGGAGGCAGCAGUGGGGAAUAUUGGACAAUGGGCGAAAGCCUGAUCCAGCCAUGCCGCGUGUGUGAAGAAGGUCUUCGGAUUGUAAAGCACUUUAAGUUGGGAGGAAGGGCAGUAACUUAAUACGUUGCUGUUUUGACGUUACCGACAGAAUAAGCACCGGCUAACUCUGUGCCAGCAGCCGCGGUAAUACAGAGGGUGCAAGCGUUAAUCGGAAUUACUGGGCGUAAAGCGCGCGUAGGUGGUUUGUUAAGUUGGAUGUGAAAGCCCCGGGCUCAACCUGGGAACUGCAUCCAAAACUGGCAAGCUAGAGUACGGUAGAGGGUGGUGGAAUUUC